Columba livia (rock pigeon) is the source of this 8978-nucleotide long non-coding RNA. RefSeq lists it as uncharacterized. The record is from RefSeq and is a predicted model, not a curated record. The transcript is spliced from 4 exons. NCBI's taxonomy places the organism in Eukaryota, Metazoa, Chordata, Aves, Columbiformes, Columbidae.
ACAUGCAGGAAGCAGCUAAAGACUGAGAUCUGUGCAAACAGAGAUGUGCAUGUGGUGACAUUUUGAAAGUCUGGAAACUUCUUGCCUCAACUGGAAGGGAACGGAAACAAACAGCAAAAUAGAGAUGGAAAACGCAUCUGUAUCUACGGGAAGCAAGUUUCAGAGGUGAAGCGCGGCUGCAGCGGAGGCUCCGUUUGGCCUCACCUGAUGUGCCUCAGCUCUGCCCCACUGAGGAGCCAAGCACCACGGCACCCAUCACCGACCGCAGGAAGAAAACAGCAUCCAGACCCUGGGUGUGUGGGCUGAACGUUUCAGGAGGAAUUUAUCAAAGCACGACCCGGGAGGAGGGGAAGGAACCCCCGAUGGGGUGUGUGCCACCCCUGUAUCGGAGCUCGCAGCCACCCGUCCAGUUUGGAGACAGUUCCCGGGGUCCUUUGGACAGUGGGGAAUGGACAGGAAUUGGAAGGUAUCUGCUCCCUUUCCCAAAAAUGCCUCCUACAACCCUUCAUGCCUGCGGUAUCUGUGUAAAGCUGCCUACGCUGGUUACGCACGCCCACGGCUCUGUGCCAGCCUGGGAAGCACAGCUUGCCGUUCUGCACCUGUUUUACCCCCGAAUUACCCCCCAGCUUUUAACAGUAGUCUUUGCUCUGAACAUUUGCACCCAUCCUUCUUCCAUCAGCCUGCAGGCUGUUAAUCCCGAUGGCUGCUGCAACGGGCCCCUCGCAGGUACAGAAACUCUGCAGGGUUUGGAUCACACUAAUACAUAUGCUGCUCAUUAAUAACAAACGGAGCGCACGGGCAGCGCUGCCCAGCUCCAGACGGACCAACGACGGGCCGCAGGGCUCGUGUGGCAGCAGCUCCCGCACACCAUCAACUUUCCUACGUGUCUGCCACUCCUCCCACCGCUGGUCCUGCUCCCUGUGCACUCAGACGGGGCCGCGCAGCUUUGGUUCAGUGGGACGUUUGCACAAGGAGAUGCGAGCACCGGGAAUUAGAACCUGAAUAAUAGCCAGAAUGGGAGAAACGGAGACUCCUUCAGUCUCAACAAAGAACCCUUGACAUGAUGUCUCUGCCUUCAUCUGUUUUCUGACCAGAUCCUGAAGAUCCUGGUGUGAAAACAGCGGAGCAGGAGAUCUCAGAAAUGAAAUACUGCAAAGGAGCUGAAGUGCAAAGAAUUGUUUGCAGAUGCAUCCUUGCAGGGUGAUGAAGCUGGUGAAGUGAAGCUGGUAAAAUGAGGUUUCCAAGAAGGAAAGCAAAGAGGGGAUGAUUUCUCUCAGUGCCAACAUAAGCCUCUUCUUCACAGAAGUAAACACUUGUUAGGAUUAGCGGAGGACAAAAUGCUACUGUGUAUGAUGUGAUAAACUCUGAAGAUUUACAUUUUGCCUGAGAACAGAUUCACAUUUUUAAUGACAGAAACCACCAUCACUGAACCCAACCACCUCAGGGCACGGAGUGCAGGAGGAGGCUGCAACUGUAAGUGGAAUCGAGCUUCCGAAUUGAACAAAGAAUUGAAACUUUUCUUGGAUUUGAAAAUGAAGUUGGUCCACAAUUUAUCUUUCCUUGCAUUUCUUUUUGUUUCCUGUCAGAGCUGCACAAUUUCUCAGUGCUUUCCCAUCUGGAAGAUACGCCGCACCAUUAUUGUGGCUUCAUACUCAAUACAGUGUCCAUUUCUCAAAGCUCCAUUUCUUUCAGAUGGACUUACAGAGAUAGAAUAAAUAUCUCUCUUGAACACCAAAUUGGGAUUACGGUUAACAAUCGCUUGGCAGACCAGAGUAGGUUAUUUUAAUGAACUCAUCAUUCUGAAAUAAGCCUUCCACCAUCUGUUCAGUCCCAUAAUUAUAAAUGCAAACAACAUAAUUCAUAAAUGCACUAUAAAAGAGAGGGAAAGGGAGAACAGCUCAAGCUGACUGUUUGUUAGUUAUUCCAGGCAGUGAUGCAUCUGCUCGCUUUGUUCCUGUUUCAGGAGCAGGUAAAAAACAGUCCUUUAAUUCUGUAUUUUAUGGCAGUCACCGACCCACAGUAAACGAUUGCCCAUAGGUGACAGAGGUGUCAUUAAGUGCACUACAGCUUCUGGUUGGCAUCACUAUUUAGCCACGUCUAUGAUGGGAGCGCACAGGGAAGAUCACACAGCCCAUCCCGGAUCCCGGUGACAAUGCUAUUUCCUCCAUGAAAAGAUGCUUUUGACCUUUUGGAAAACUGGGAAAUUUUGUGAAACGUUCAGAAAAUGGAGAAGAGCAUCAACAUAAAAUCCAAGAAUCUCUGGAAUUUUCAUUUUUCAUUUUGAAAGAAGCUUUGGUUUUUAAUCUGAAAUAUACAAAAUGUCAAAAUGGAAUGUAAACAAAACAUGUUGCUUCAUUUCCACUUUUCUGUUAAAAAAUGAAUAUACAUAAACCAAACUAAAUGCAUUUUCGCGAAACGCUUUAUUUUAAUAUAUCUGCAUUUUUGAUUUUCAAAAAGUCCAAGCAGAAAUGUCCCUCUCUCGCAAUUAAUGGGUUCGUAGACUCCAUGAAAUGGAAAGGUUUCCAGUAAUUCUGUAAAGUCUGGGCUGAAUGACUCUGGCUUCCAGCUGCUGAGUGAACCGCCACAUCUGGCCAUUUCCAGCGGGAUGAGAAGAACAUCCCGCCACCUGCUCAACACCAUUCCCCAAAGGGAGCCAGAAAUUACAAGCUCAUUCUGCCUUUUUGUCGAUACGUAUCAACACUGCAGAAGACGUAAGUCGAUUUGAUAAUCGAUGCUGAAAAACUACUGCUGUAUCUAAUAAUUCUAGGCUGAAGAGCUCCUGUUUCUCGGUGGGUUUCUCCCUGGUUCUGAGAUUAAAUACUUGCAAGAUCUCCGAGCAAUGAGGUUUAAGCUUUUUGUGUGUCGUUCUUCUGCUGCGUCUGGUUGACCUGCAACCCAGAGGAGAGCAGCACGUUAUCCAAGGUGAGUUUACUACAGGUAGGUCUCCCCCUGCACCUACUCAUGAUCUGUGUGGGCCAACAAAAGCCAGUUCAGAGAUAAUUUCUCUUCUAAACAUACAAGAAACCAAUGAAUAUAAAAAGAGUGCGUGAACGGAGAAAACACAGUGAGACCCACUCCAAGAGAAUUCCCUCAAAUAUCAGAUAUUUUCCCUUAAACUCUGCAGAGAUACCCUCGCUAUUUGUCUCCCGUGCGCUGUUGAGCGCAGGGCUCCUGCCCGAGGGGGCUGCAGGGUUUUGGACCCCUGCACGGGGAUGGUGAAGCCGUUGUGGCCGGUUCCUGGGAGCUGGUCAGGCUGGAUGGCAGAUGAACGUCUCCAUCCCAUCCUCCCAUGGCCAUUUCUCUUCAUUGCCAGCUGACGGGCUGCAGAGCCCCUACCGAUGUGAUUAGCUGAGGGAAGGGCCUGGGGUAGACAAUGAUGUGCUAAAUCACCUGCUGGAGCCCUGGGGUGGAACGGCUGACCAGAUGUGGUUGGGAUCUGUAACGUGGCCAAGGAAAUUCAAUCCAUGCUCUGCACUGAGCUUUGCAACAAGGACCUUCCUUUGCCUCCGCUGGUUCUUAUUCCAAUCCUGGGGAGGGAUCAUCUACCUGUGUGUAAAACCACCCAGCCAGUGGAUUUGAUGUCUCAAGCAGCCUGAGCAAAGAUAAAACAUUCCUAAAUUCUUAAAAUGCCCUAGCCAAGUUUGAAUCUGUCCUAGCCUUAUUUAAUUUAUUUUAAUAAAGAGGAGCAAAUAUCAGUGGGCUGUUCCUCCUUAGACAUGAUGCAGUCCUUUGGGAAAACAUGGGCAAAAUCCACAGAAAUAUAAUCAAAAGUUCCAUUUUUGCGUUGCAGCUGAAUGGUGAAAAUCUGGAUCUCAGGAAAACAUUUGGAUUGCUAAAUUAUUUAUACAGAUAUGACAGCAAUGUUGAUUUUAAAGUCAUUUGUAGUCAAAUGUAAAUACAAAUUUAUCUCUAUCUCAUGAUGUGUUUAUUUUUUUCCACUCUUAAGCAGUUAUGCUGAAUAUCUUAAUUAUCUUUAAAUCAAAUAAGGCUGUUCAGACCUCGUGAGCUGGAAUGAAGCACUCAUCAUUCUUUACUAAAUUUCAGUUAGAGGUUUUAAAGCCAGCUGUCUCCAGCCCACGUAAUCCAGCCUCCAGUACAUUUUGUAAGACUUCUAAUGCCUCCUCGGGUUUAACAUUUGCAGACAGUUCUCCAAGGAAGUAAUAAGCUGGGGAAAGAAAUAAAUGACUUUCUUUGUAUCUGAUGAGUGGCAGAACACAAAGCAAGCAGCUCUCAAUACUGUUUCUGUCCUUUCUUAGGGACACGGUUUAGUGGUGGCCUUGGCAGCGUUGGGUUAACAGGCUUUUCCAACCAAAACGAUUCCAUGGUUCUAUUCUAUCUCCAAAAGUGGAGGCGAGCAGAUAAUGUCCGGUGGAUAUGUGACCGCACCGACACGGAGGCACUACUGCUUUAGCUUGAUGUACAAUAGAGAAGGUGCCUAUCUUCUUCUGGCAAAACAAGAACAAAAUCCCUUCCAGUUCAUUAAUUUUUGUGUUUACAGUAGAAAUGUAUCUUUUUUUAAAGGAGGAUGUUUAACUCCUUUUAAAAGUGCAGGCAAAUAAUAAGCUGAAAUAUGAUUUUGAAAUGAAAUGUCAAAACACCUCAGCAUCUUGUUUUCUUUUCAUGUUUUCCUGCUGAAAACAUUUGCUGAACUUGACCCAAUCAGUUUGUUUCCCUGCAACUGCAAGUGCUCAUUACGUCUUCCUUUUUAAAAAAUUCUUGUUAUUUCCAGGCUUUAUUAAUUAAUUUGGUCUAAGAUAAACAAUAGGAACCCAUCUGGGCUACUUUAACUUCAACAGCUAAUCCCAGCACGCUGCUCCUUUGCUCAGAAGACUCUUGUUCCAUGAAUGGAGGAGAAUCACACUGGCCUCUCAGGCAGAGUGCUGAGCACAACCUUUCACUUGGCACAGGAAACAGAUCAGAUAGAGCUUGAUUAACAACGAUAACUAAUUAGGAGCCUGGCCUGAGUCAACCAAGGCAUUUCACACAGGUCAGCAAAGCAGCAAAGAGUCGAAUUCAAUAUAAACAGGGCUGAAGGAACACAUUUUGGAUGUCAUUAUCCCUGGGUGCUGGCUAAAUCCUUUCGCAUGAUGUUAUAAAGUCUCAUUUUUGCAUUGAGUAAUAACCUCUUAAGAUGAUAAUUACCAAGAUCAGCUAAGUGAGCUAUUUCAAGAAACUGUUGACAGAAGGUUAGCAAGGGCUCAGGACACCUCUUUUCCCAGCUUCCUUAGGCUUCCGUCUUGCAGCUGCUUGAGCUGAAUGAUGUUUAUAAGUUUCCCUAUUUUCCGCUGCAGGACGUUCUGCUCAGCUUCAGCAAAAGGCCUUGGACUUUGGAUAUUAUGAACAUAAACGUGACAAUGACUGGUGAUGAAAAACAUGGGAUCCACACAGCAACCAAGGUGAUGGAGUCAAUCCAGAGACGCUGACUCCCUCCAUCACAGAUUUACAACUUGUUAAUGUUGUAAUAGUUGAUGUUUCCACAAGAGAAACAGAAACUUGGGCACUGAAGGACAGAAACUAAGCUAAGUUUAAAAUCAGCAGGGAAACUAUUUGUUUUCAAUGAUCUAAAUCUAUUUGCUAAUUAUAAGCACCAGCAUAAACAAGUAAGCAAAUGACCGAGGCCAUUCAAUGCCACGCUACACAACAUGGACACUCUCCCCUUCUCACAUUAACUCUGCAUUUCCAUUUCUCUCUCAUUAAUGUUAAGUUUCACACUACUUUAUGUGCUCUAAUUACCUGAAGUUUUUGGCCUACAGUUCAUGUUUGCACCAUAAUUAAUGCAACAUUCAUAAAAGACCCAAAUCUGAUAAUUAGGAGAGUACUCGGAAGUGCUCGUUUACGUUAGAAAUACACAGCACCACAUUAAGAGCAGCUUUAACUACCCACAGAUGGGGUAGCUCAUAAUAGGCUUCUGGGUUUUAACUAAGGUGUUUCAAUUACUGAAGAAUAAGCAGGAUCAAUUAAGAAUAUUCAAAUGGAAGAUAAUGAUUUUUUUUUUUUUAAUAAAUUGAAAUUUCACAACUGGCAUAAUUAGACCUUUCAUCUGCAAAGAUAAAAACCACAAGGCAUUCAUCAAAGCUGUGGAAUGAAAUAGUGGCAAAACCCCUUGGAGCUGUUUCCUUGUGCAAUGGAGACACCACAAUGGAGACCACAUCUGGAAUAUUGUGUCCAGUUGUGGCCCCUCAGUUCCAGCAGGACAGGGAACUGCUGGAGAGAGUCCAGCGCAGCCACCAAGAUGCUGAAGGGAGUGGAGCAUCUCCCGUGUGAGGAAAGGCUGAGGGAGCUGGGGCUCUGGAGCUGGACAAGAGGACACUGAGGGGGGACUCAUUCCUGGGGAUCGAUAUGGAAAGGGGGAGUGUCAGGAGGAUGGAGCCAGGCUCUUCUGGGUGACAACCAGUGACAGGACAAGGGGCAAUGGGUUCAAACUGGAACACUAAAGGUUCCACUUAAAUUUGAGAAGAAACUUGUUCCCAGUGAGGGUGGCAGAGCCUGGCCCAGGCUGCCCAGGGGGGUUGUGGAGUCUCCUUCUCUGCAGACAUUCCAACCCGCCUGGACACCUUCCUGUGUAACCUCAUCUGGGUGUUCCUGCUCCAUGGGGGGAUUGCACUGGGUGAGCUUUCCAGGGCCCUUCCAACCCCUGACAUUCUGGGAUUCUAUGAUUAUUUCCAAGCGUAUUGCAGACCAGCAGCCUGGAGCCCCAAGACUGAAUUUGUUUGUCAGGCUUCAAAUACGUGCCACGGUGUCAGAACCGCAGCCAUCUGGGAAAUCAACCGGUGGCUUUUCUGCACUGAGAUAUCCAGUGCAUUGUCAUUUCAUGUGUCUACUUUUUGUGUGCAAGAGCAGAACUUUUUGGUGUCAAAACAAGACUUUCUGCAAAGAAUGACGUGGUUUAUAACAAAAGUCUAACAUAUGCAUGUUGUUAAUGUCAGUCACUGAUUUCAGCUCCUUUGUGAACAGCAAACUAUCGCAAACUCCCUCAGAGCUCGUCUGUAUCCUGGUCAUUCUGGGUAUCCCAGCAGUGCUGUGGUGAAGUUGUACGUGUCUUAAGGCACCUCAUGGUAAGAGCUGAAAAUCGUGUUUUCUGGUAAUGGAAAAAUGAUGCAAAAAUUAAACCGCAAAAAACAGUAUUGAAGAGAAGCUGCCAAAUUAAUGUAUACUGUGAUUAAAUUAUAAAAGACGUGCCCAUCAUUCACCAAUUGACAUGAGAUAAAUGCUUUCUGACCACCUGCAAAAUGAGGGGAUAUUCUUCAAGUUUUAGAUCCUUCUGCAUGACAGGAGGGAGUCAGAAGACUGAGUAACACAUUGUUUAGAAGCAGAGUACUCAGUUUAUAUUUAACUAAUAAUUAAUAGAUGUAUUGUAAGAAACUAAAUGAUUAUAACUAACAUCAUCAAUUAUUUCUUAGUAUUAUAUGUCCAAAUUUCCAAAAAUGUAAUGCAUAUGUAAUAAUUAUGUGAAUGUAAGCAUUGCAAGAGCAUCCAGUCUGGAGCACUGAUGGAGGAUGAUCCCCAGUGUUUCCCAGCGCUGCUGAAAUAAAGAAUGUCUAUAACAGUAGAAUUUUGCCAGCUUUCCAUCCUGCUCACCAUGGUGAGCUACCACUCUUCCCUACUUCUUCCUCAAGGUUUUUCAAUUAAUAUGAUAUGCAUUAGCUGGCACAUUCCUGACUUCAGACUGCUUCUCUGUCACAGCCUACGGGGUAUGAAUUGGUAAAACUUUAUACAUCACAUUACGAAAAAUAUUAACAUGGCAAACUUUUGAGCUGUGCUCAUAACUAGUCGUAUUUUGUAAGCAUUUUCUUAGGAUUAAAUGUCAUACCACGGACGGUGACAUUGGAAGUGGGUGCUUAACUUGAGUAAAAUCUCCCUAUUCUCCUCCGUUCAGCCUUGGUUUGAUAACUGCCCAGAGUGUUUUCCCGGUGCCAAAGGGCAGCAGCAGACCCUCCUGCUCCAUUCUCCUAUAUACACCCCACUUGCAAACAGUAAUUCCCUGCAUCACUUUCAGAGACAGUUGCUCCUUGCUUUUAGCUUGGUUAAAACCAAUACCAAAAUAAGCCAAUAAGUACAUAUUGCUUGGUGGCUGUAUUUUCAUUCCCCUGUUGUUCUUCAGGAAGGAUGAUGCUUCGUUUGCUCAUCUGCCUUCCCUGCCAAGAGCUAUUUCACAGCCAGGUUAGAUUGUCUUCAGGAGUGUGCUGGGGAGGACAGGAGGUGCCUCCGACAGCUUCUUCAUUCCGAUAUGAUUCAGAGGUUGCUCAGUCCCCCUUUUCUGUUCGCUGUAUCCCCAAACAUCCUGUGACGAUUGCCUGUUCUCUGACUUCAGCCUUUCCAGUCUCAACAGGAGUAGUUCCUGGACAUCUGCUACUGAGAACCUAACGGGAGUGAUGCCAGCUCCUGCUCCCUCCAGGCCCAGGGACCCUCUGAGCUUGUGUGUGCAAGAAGGACCGGGGGAAGAAAUGUUCUCAUCUGAGCAUCACAGCAAGCAGAACCUCUUCACUUCUGGAAAUCUCCAAAAGAAAACCAUCAAGCUCAGUCAGAACAUUUGAGUACAUGAUGUCCAAGGACGCUUCUCCAAGUGUCAGGAGAGAAUUCAUCAAUAUGGAAAGACAGAGAAAGGAAGGACUUGGGAAGCUGAAGACGCUGCCCCAAGGUGGCCGCUGCCCCUUCCACCGUGACAAAGAACCCAACCUCGGCUUUCUCACGUUCUCUGGAAGCCAUGGAGCAACCAGCCCCAGGUGCCUUGGUAAGUACCUGCAUGCUCAUGGGAAGGGUUGGAAGGAGCCACGUGAUCGCAACCCUCACUAUUUUCAGGGCACAAUCGCAUGAAUUAUGUCAGAGAAAUGCAGUAUUUUUUAGGAUCAGACAGCCUAAAAUGACAAGCAAUUUUUUGGAUCACGAAGGUUGUUCAUUUAACAACCAGCUCACCUCCUUAUUGACCCCCAGAUUAUUUGCUGUUGCAGACCCACUGAGUGGGUUCACACACCACAAUC